RNAcentral lists this ribosomal RNA (23 nucleotides) under Fomitopsis sp. E7362. Its description in RNAcentral is "partial 26S ribosomal RNA". The record is from RNAcentral. Lineage: Eukaryota; Fungi; Basidiomycota; Agaricomycetes; Polyporales; Fomitopsidaceae.
CUGGAUGGGACAAAUGCAAUUAU